AUGGAUGCUAGUUCAAACCUAAGAAGUAAGGUUAGUUUUGCUUGAUUUAGUUUAUGGUCAUACACAAAGAUGCAACGAAUUUGCUUACUCCUGUGAAGCUCAUAAAGUCGACAGCACAAAUGGCAAAAACAAAUACAACAAUACAGAGGUACCGAUGAAUGACAAUCUUGAAUCUUGAAGUACAGCUAAAGAUGGACGGAACUAAAGAAGCAUGGCUGUGGUCCUCUCAGGAUCAUUGUCCCACAGAAGCUCUCAGACUACUUCCUAUACGGCAGCAUGUUCCCAUUCUUGGAGCUCGCUGAUCGGCCGCGUUUCAGAAUGUCCUGAAGUUGGUCAUCUUGUGGACAUGAAUUCUCACCCGUGUUGUAAACUGAAGCGCAGCGGGAGUCGAAACAUCAGCGGUCGGAGGUCUCCACACUCGGUAAUCAGUCAAUCUCUCUCUCGGAGGUGGGAAAGAGUUUGCUGCUGAUUCUCGAAUCGGGAAACUCGAAAUAAAAUGCGUUACCUCAGACCGACAGUAACAUCAAAAUAGCGACUGUUGUCCCCCUCUCACGUUGGAAGGAAUGAUAUCUGUCUCUCCCUUGUCAGAGAGAGAGACAGCAGGUGAGAUGUCGGAUACAUUGGAGUACGUUUGAUGGACUGUAGUCCAUGGUCUCUCUUUGGGAGCUUUGGGAGCUUGCAUGGCAAAUGGUGGGAAUGCUGAUGCGUUAUGCUAGAAUGACUGAGGGGGCGGAGAGCUGAUGCUGCUUGUACAUUCAAUUCAUUCCUGUUUGCCUCUCUCAUCUUAUAUGCCCAUCACCUCCCUCUGGUGCUCCCUUUCUAUCCUCUCCUAUCAGAUUCUCCCUUCAGCAGCCCCGUAUCUCUUCCACUAAUCAAAUUCCCAACUCUUUAUUUCAACCCCUCACACUCUCCCAGUUUCACCUCUCACCUGCCACCCUGUACUUCUUCCUCCCCUCCCCCCACCUUCCGAUUCUGACUUCUCCCCUUCCUUUCCAGUCCUGAUAAAGGGUCUUGGCCCAAAACGUCAAGUGCUUAACCUUUUCCACAGAUGCUGCCUGGCCUGAUGAGUUCCUCCAGCAUUUUGUGCUUUGGAUUUCCAGCAUCUGCAGAUUUUCAUGUUUUUGUGGGGAGGAAUCUUGUAAGCCAGAGGGUGGUGAAUCUGUGGAAUUCAUUGCCACAGAUGGCAGUGGAGGCCAAGUCAUUGGCUAUAUUUAAAGUGGAGGCUGAUAAAUUCUUAAUUAGUAAGGACGUCAAAGAUUUCAAGGAGAAAUCAGGAGAAUGGGGUGAGAGAGAGAAUAAAUCAGCCAUGAUGGAAUGGUGGAACUGACUCGAUGGGCUGAAUGGCCUAAUUCUGCUCCUAUUUUCUUAUAGGCUUCAUCAGAAAUGUGAAAGAAAGAAAAAUAAAUUAGCUUUUGUUCACAGAGAAGGUGGGGAAUGGAUGUAUAGAGCAGUGGGAAUAUCUUAGAAAUAUACUCCGAAAAUGCUGGUUCAGCAAAUUACACACAAAAUGUUGCUGGAACACAGCAGGCCAGGCAGCACCUAUAGGGAGAAGAACAGUCAACGUUUCGGGCCGAGAGCCUUCAUCAGGACUUACUGAAAGGAAAGAUAGUAUGAGAUCCUCGUUUUCAGCAAAUUAGGCAGUUUCUUUGGAGAUUCAUAGAGAUGGGGUGGUAGAUGAAGCAGCUGAGGUCUUUGCUGACGACUGAUCAUUUGGGAUCAGAGGAGUGAAGGCUGGCAGGGAUAGUAAAGUGGAAUGGAGAAACACGAGAGUUUAGAGAUAGAGUGAGUGUACAGAGAGGUCAAAGAGGUCAAGACCAUGCGUGUGUGGAUGUAUGUAGAUCUCAAAAUACAAAAGAGAUCAGGCCUGUUCAAACUAUUCAGACACAUUCCACCUUUUGUUUGGUUAGUUUGAGCUCCAAAUGGGGCACAUUGCAUAAGAUGCAACUAUGGGGCAGGCUUUAAACCACAUACAGCGGACAGACAUGGGAAGCACACAGACUACAAUGUCAACGUGUGAUGAUACCAGUUCCCCCUUGAGCUCACAAUGCUUCAGCUACUGCCUUCUCUAAACUUCUGAACAUGAGCAACAGGAAGGAACUGCCCCAAACACCUGUUUAAAGGGAUCAUUGACUUCUUACAAGCUAGUUGUUGCUUGAUUUCUUCUGGCUGCUAAUAUUAUUCUACAAGUGUUUGAUGAUUUCUAUAUUUCUUUUGAAUUGCAAAGUCGACAGGGAGGUGUUGAAUGACAUGUUGCUGACUUCAAGGAUUCUGCACAAACCAGUUGUUCGCAGACAUGGAUGCUUCAGUGGCAUUCCCCUCGCAAUACAUCAUGUCUAGGAGAAUUAGCAGAGCGUGCACAAAGCAGGACAAGUUGCUGGAAGAGAGCAAAGAGGGAGAUAGAAAAGGGUUCUGAGGAGGAGGUGAUAUGGAUGUCGUGGCCAAACAAAAAAAUACACACUAGCACCUCACAAACUGCUGGAGGAACUGAACAGGUCAGGCAGCAUCUAUGGAAAGAAAUAAACAGUCAAGACCCUUCAUCAAGACCUGAAGCAUCAACUGUUUAUUCCUUUCCAUAGAUGCUGCCUAACCUUCUGAGUUCCUCAAGCAUUUUGUGUGUUACUCUGAAUUUCCAGCAUCUGCAAAAUCCCCUUGCACUUGUGAGAGGAAUAAAUGGUCGAUGUUUCAGGCUGAAACUCUUCAUCUCUGUGUGUUACCUGGAUUUGCAGCAACUGGCGAAUAUCUUGUGUUUACACUAGCACCUCUACUUCUUCAGCAGGCUAGGGAAAAGCAGCAUGUCAUUAAUAACUCUCACCAAUUAUUACAGAUGCACUGGAGAAAGUAUCCUGUCCAGACUCAUCGUGGGUCCAUGUGGUAACUGUUCUGGCCAAGACUACAAGACAUUGCAGUUGUCAACACAGCAUGGUCCAUCAAGCAAACCAGCCUCUUUCUAUCGGGUCUGUCUACACUUUCUGCUAACAUAAUCAAGGACCUUGUCAGUCAUGGUUAUUCUCUGUCCUCCUCUCUCUGGUCAGGCAAAAGAUACAAAAACCAGAGAGCAUGAAUCAGCAGUCAACAUCCAAACCUUAAACACAAGAGAUUCUGCAAAUGCUGGAAAUCCAGAGUAACACAAACAAAAUGCUGGAGAAACUUGGCAGGUCAGGCAGCAUCUAUGGAGGAAAAUGAACAGCUGACUUUCUGGUCUGAGAUCCUUAGUCAGGACUUCAUCAGGUCCUGAUGAAGGGUCUUGGCCUGGAAUAUCAACCAUAUUGUUCCUAUGUAGAAAAUUUUACUCUGACAUAUUUACUCAUCAAAAGUAUUGAAUGUGUAAUCAAACAAGCUGCCUUCACAUAACUAGAGUUAGACUUUGCUCUUGCCCAUAAGCAAAUAGGACUGGAGACUUCACAGUGUUCAUCACACAAAAAUAGAUAGGCUAGUUGGCCCAAUUGUUCCAUAUUGAACAAGAUGCCUCAUCUAAGGUAGUCCCAUUUGCCAGCAUUUGGCUCAUAACUGUUUAAUCCUUUCCUAUCCAUGUAGCUGUCCAACUGUCUUUUAAAAAUUAUUUUUGUACCUGCGUCAACCAUUUCCUCUGUCAGCUCAUUCCACAUGCGUACCACCUUUUAUAUAAAAAGUAUCCCUUCAAAUUUUUAUUAAAUCUGUUUCCUUCUUUCCUUAAGCCUGAGCCCUCAAGUCCUUGAUUCUCCAUCUUUGGGGAAAAGACUACUGACUGCACUCUAUCUGUGCUUUCUAAAGGAGGCUAGAUAAGCUGGGACUCCUUUUUUCUCCUGGAGCCUAGGAGAUGAAGGGUGAUGCUGGAAGGCUGAAGAGACUGGUUAAGAGAGGGGUGAAGUUGCAAAAGAUUGGGCUAGUUGAAUGACAGAGGCAGAAUCCCUAUCCAGAAUUCAGCAGAAAAGCUGUAUUGUGCCUACUCACAGAGCGGGUGUUCCCCACUGGGUCCCACCUGUACCUAAUAUAGAGAUCAUUCAGUGUACAUUCAUGGCCUUCUGCUGCUGUAGCCCAUCCACUUCAGGGUCCGACAUGUUGCAUGUUCAGAGAUGCCCUUCUGCACAACACUGUUUUACCACGUGGUUAUUUGAGUUACUGUCGCCUUCCUGUCAGCUUGAACCAGUCUGGCCAUUCUCCUCCAACCCCUCUCACUUACGAGGUGUUUUCACCCUCAGAACUGCCAAUCACUGGAUGUUUUAAGUUUUUCAUAUCAUUUUCUGUAAACUCUAGAGAUUGUUGUGCAGGAAAAUCCCAGGAGAUCAGCGGCGUCUGAGAUACUCAAACCACCCCAUCAGGCACCAACAAUCAUUCCACUGUCAAAGUCACUUAGAUCACAAUUUCCCCAUUCUGAUGUUUGAUCUGAACAACAACUGAACCUCUUAACUAUGUCUGCAUGCUGUUAUGCAUUGGGAUGAUGCCACAUGAUUGGCUGAUUAGAUAUUGGCAAUUACAAGCAGGUAUACCCAAUAAAGUGGCCACUGAGUGUAUAUUCUGAACAUGACUGGAACAUUGCGCAAAACCAAGGGCAGUAGGUCUGGGUCAGAGGGGGUCAGGGCCAGUUCAGUGGACUCAAUGGAAGAGUCCUGCAAGCGAUCACUUCAUCAGGUUUUGAUCUCCCAGCACAGUGGAGAUCAAAAAGCUGAUAGAAAAGCAAGUCUAGAGAGAAUGUUUUGAAACACUGGACCAGUAAACUGGAUUGUUUCAGUGCUCAUAUUUAUGAGUAAUUAUACAGACUGACUGCCAAACAGUAUAUAAACAAAAGCUAUUUUCCUCACUAAAGACACUGGACAUGCUCAGAACUAUACACGGACUUCUUAAAAGGAAAUUCCCGUGUUCUUAAAAGUAAAACAUUUAAACCGAGGUAACCGAGCAACAGAACAAGAGAAAAAGGAAAAAUACAGGUAAAUAGAACUCAUACCUGAAGACACAUUAUACUGCAGAUGCUAGGACAUAGAACGUAGAGCAUUACAGCACAGAACAGGCUUUUGGUCCAUGAUGUUCUGCUAACCUUAUAACCUACUCUAAGCUCAAUCUAUCCAUUCUCUCCACAUAGUCCUCCAUUUUUCCAUUAUCCAUGUGCCUAUCUAACAGUUUUUUUUAAAUGCCCCGGAUAUAUCUGCCUCCACUAUUACCCCUGGUAGGGCAUUCCAUGCACUUCCCACUCGGCGUAUGCCACCCCCCCCCCUUUUCUUUCCUCCAAUCACAUUAAGAUUAUGUACGCUGGUAUUAGCCAUUUCUGUCUUGGAAAAACGUCUCUGGCUAUACACUUGAUCUAUGCAUCUUAUCAUCUUGUACACCUCUACCAAGUCACUUCUCAUCCUCUUUCACUCAAAUAAGGUAAACCCUAACUCACUCAACCUAUCCUCAUAACACAUUAUCUCUAAUCCAGGCAGCAUCCUGUUAAAUCUCCUCGGCACCCCCUCUAAAGCUUCUACAUCCUUCCGAUACUGCCAGUAUAAAAAGGUGAAAGGGAUGGGUGAGACAGAGGCUGAUAGAUGAUAGUCAGAACCAGGUAAAAUGGGGCCGGUGGGCUCCUGGAGCUAAGUGGGGAAGGAGGUGACAGGAUAGUGGAUGACAGGUACAGACAAGUAAAGAACUGCAAGCUAUGUGGAUGGAAUAAAGUGAGGGGAGGGGAGGAGCAAGGUAGAGACAAAAGCAGAAAGGUGAUGUACAACAAGAUAUCGAAGGAAUAAUGGGCAGAUAGAAUCAGGGUGAAGAGAGUAACAAAUUCAGUAAGAUUGGGGGUGGGAAUAGGUGGUGCAAAGCAGAAGGAAUAGAAAAGGUGAUCAAGGCAGAGAGGAACCGGAUGGACUGGUAAUCAGAAAGGAAUCCUGCAGAUGAGGUUCACCAGAUUUUAGAAGAUUCAAUAUUAAUACCAUUGGGUACUAAACCACUUCCUUGCAUUUAACUUUUCCACUCAAGGUCAGAAAUCCACGUUUAUAUUCAUGAGCAAUACACACAAGAUGCUGGAGGAACUCAGCAGAGCAGGCAGCAUCUAUAGAAAAGAGAAAACAGUCGACUUUUCAGGCCAAGCCCCUUCAUCAGGUCUGGAAAGGAAAGGGAGAAGUCAGAGUAAGAAGGUGGUGAAGGGAGGGGAGGGAGAAGUACAAGGUGGAAGGUGAUAGGUGAAACCUGGAGUGGGGGGCUGAAGUAAAGAGCUGGGAAGUUGAUUGGUGAAAGAGGUAAAGGGCUGGAGAAGGGGGAAUCUGGGAGGACAGAAGGCUAUGGAAGGUGAAAGAGCACCAGAGGCAGGUGAUGCGUAGAUAAGGUGAAAGAGGGAAACAGAAGUGGGGAAUGGUGAGGAUAAGGGGACCCCUAUCCCUGGUUUGGCAGAGAGAGGAUGGCAUGAGGGCAGAUGUGUGCAAAAUGGAAGCCAUGCGGGUGAAGGCAGUGUUGAUGGUGGAGGAAAGGAAGCCCAUUUAUCUGAAGGAGGAGGACAUCUCCUUCGUUCUGGAAUGAAAAGUCUCAUCCUGAGAGCAGAUGCAGUAGAGAUGGAUGAACUAAGAGAAGGGGAUGGCACUUUUUACACGUGACAGGGUAGGGACAGGUAUGGUCAUGAUAGCUGUGAGAGUCAGGGGGUUUAUAAAAGAUAUCAGUAGAUAGACUGUCUGCAGAGAUGGAGACAAAGAGAUUGAGAAAGGGGACAGAGGUGUUGGAAAAGAACCAAAUAAAGGGUUUCCCUUCCUCCCCCAUCAACUCCGCCCUCACCCACAUCUCUUCCAUUUUGUGCACAUCUGCCCUCACCCCAUCAUGGAUGCUGCCUAACCUGCUGAGAUCCUUCAUCUGAUGUGAAAUUUGUUAACUUUGUGCCAACUGUACAAUACUUGAUAAAUAAAGAGAAAAAGCUGAA
Long non-coding RNA from Hypanus sabinus (Atlantic stingray), 6853 nucleotides. RefSeq lists it as uncharacterized. The transcript is spliced from 3 exons. NCBI's taxonomy places the organism in Eukaryota, Metazoa, Chordata, Chondrichthyes, Myliobatiformes, Dasyatidae. The record is from RefSeq and is a predicted model, not a curated record.